UACUGAGGGUGCAAGCGUUAAUCGGAAUUACUGGGCGUAAAGCGCGCGUAGGCGCUUGGUCAGUUGGAUGUGAAAGCCCCGGGCUUAACCUGGGAACUGCAUUCAAUACUGCCAAGCUAGAGUAUGGGAGAGGGCUGUGGAAUUCCACGUGUAGCGGUGAAAUGCGUAGAUAUGUGGAGGAACAUCAGUGGCGAAGGCGGCAGCCUGGCCCAAUACUGACGCUGAGGUGCGAAAGCGUGGGGAGCAAACAGGAUUAGAUACCCCUGUA
RNAcentral lists this ribosomal RNA (268 nucleotides) under uncultured prokaryote. Its description in RNAcentral is "partial 16S ribosomal RNA". It matches the Rfam family "Bacterial small subunit ribosomal RNA", at positions 524 to 792 of the family's 1533-position model. The record is from RNAcentral.